UAGCGUUGCUCGGAAUCACUGGGCGUAAAGCGCACGUAGGCGGAUUGCUAAGUCAGGGGUGAAAUCCUGGAGCUCAACUCCAGAACUGCCUUUGAUACUGGUGAUCUUGAGUCCGGGAGAGGUGAGUGGAACUGCGAGUGUAGAGGUGAAAUUCGUAGAUAUUCGCAAGAACACCAGUGGCGAAGGCGGCUCACUGGCCCGGUACUGACGCUGAGGUGCGAAAGCGUGGGGAGCAAACAGG
Molecule: ribosomal RNA, 241 nt
Filed under: uncultured bacterium
Lineage: Bacteria
Description: partial 16S ribosomal RNA
Rfam family: Bacterial small subunit ribosomal RNA
Source: RNAcentral